AACGAACGCUGGCGGCGCGUUUAAGCAUGCAAGUCGAACGGUAACAAAGUGCUUGCACUUUGUGAGAGUGGCGAACGGGUGAGUAACACGUAGGUAAUCUGCCUCUGGGCACGGGGAUAGCCCAUGGAAACAUGGGGUAAUACCCGAUACGAUGUAUUGAUUGAUUUGAUACAGGAAAGGCGCUAAGGUGCCGACCUGAGAUGAGCCUGCGGCUUAUUAGUUAGUUGGUGGGGUAAAGGCCUACCAAGACGAUGAUAAGUAGCCGGCCUGAGAGGGUGACCGGCCACACUGGGACUGAGACACGGCCCAGACUCCUACGGGAGGCAGCAGCUAAGAAUCUUCCGCAAUGGACGAAAGUCUGACGGAGCGACGCCGCGUGAACGAAGAAGGCCGUGAGGUUGUAAAGUUCUUUUCUUGUGGGGGAAUAAUGUAAGAGUGACUGCUUACAGAUGACGUGAAACAAGGAAUAAGCCCGGCUAAUUACGUG
RNAcentral lists this ribosomal RNA (487 nucleotides) under uncultured bacterium. RNAcentral's name for it is "bacterial SSU rRNA". It matches the Rfam family "Bacterial small subunit ribosomal RNA", at positions 29 to 507 of the family's 1533-position model. The record is from RNAcentral.